GGCGAGUUUGAUCCUGGCUCAGGACGAACGCUGGCGGCGUGCUUAACACAUGCAAGUCGAACGAUGAAGCCGCUUCGGUGGUGGAUUAGUGGCGAACGGGUGAGUAACACGUGGGCAAUCUGCCCUGCACUCUGGGACAAGCCCUGGAAACGGGGUCUAAUACCGGAUAUUACCUGGUGAGGCACCUUACUGGGUGGAAAGCUCCGGCGGUGCAGGAUGAGCCCGCGGCCUAUCAGCUUGUUGGUGGGGUGAUGGCCUACCAAGGCGACGACGGGUAGCCGGCCUGAGAGGGCGACCGGCCACACUGGGACUGAGACACGGCCCAGACUCCUACGGGAGGCAGCAGUGGGGAAUAUUGCACAAUGGGCGAAAGCCUGAUGCAGCGACGCCGCGUGAGGGAUGACGGCCUUCGGGUUGUAAACCUCUUUCAGCAGGGAAGAAGCGAAAGUGACGGUACCUGCAGAAGAAGCGCCGGCUAACUACGUGCCAGCAGCCGCGGUAAAGU
This 505-nucleotide ribosomal RNA is filed under the name uncultured bacterium. RNAcentral describes it as "bacterial SSU rRNA". It matches the Rfam family "Bacterial small subunit ribosomal RNA", at positions 9 to 526 of the family's 1533-position model. The record is from RNAcentral.